RNAcentral lists this ribosomal RNA (406 nucleotides) under uncultured bacterium. RNAcentral's name for it is "partial 16S ribosomal RNA". It matches the Rfam family "Bacterial small subunit ribosomal RNA", at positions 29 to 526 of the family's 1533-position model. The record is from RNAcentral.
AUUGAACGCUGGCGGCAGGCCUAACACAUGCAAGUCGAACGAGUGGCAGACGGGAGAGUCAUGUCUGGGAAACUGCCCGAUGGCGGGGGAUAACUAUUGGAAAGGGUAGCAAAUACCGAAUACCAUCAGAUGGGGCAGGAGGGGAUUAGCUAGUGGGUGGGGGAACGGCUCACCAAGGCGAAGAGACCUAGCGGGUCUGAGAGGGUGACCGGCAACAUGGGAACGGGGACACGGUCCAUACUCCUACGGGAGGCAGCAGUGGGGAAUAUGGCACAAUGGGCGCAAGCCUGAUGCAUCCAGGCCGCGUGUAUGAUGAAGGCUUUCGGUUUGUAAAGUACUUUCAGCGGGGAGGCGUUACCCGCAUAAGAAGCACCGGCUAACUCCGUGCCAGCAGCCGCGGUAAUAC